This 276-nucleotide unclassified non-coding RNA is filed under the name Melaleuca viridiflora. The record is from RNAcentral. Lineage: Eukaryota; Viridiplantae; Streptophyta; Magnoliopsida; Myrtales; Myrtaceae.
UAUUUUCGUUUUUUUUUCUCGCCCGGUUCACUUGACUCGACGAUGCCCCGUGGAGUUUGAGACGCACCGGAAAUCGCCUCAAACGCCUUCGGCACGUGAAAGCGGAGACGCGCGGAUUACGUUUACCGAGAAACUCUCCAUUUCGUAUUUCGUCGCAUGUAACUAGCGUUACAUUAACCGCGCGAUGGGUCCUUGAGAGCGAGAAGUUGAACACUCCGGACGUUUCUCGAGAGGAGAAAGCGAUUCGCUUCAAGUAAAUAUGCUAUGCAUAACAUG